RNAcentral lists this ribosomal RNA (485 nucleotides) under uncultured bacterium. Its description in RNAcentral is "partial 16S ribosomal RNA". It matches the Rfam family "Bacterial small subunit ribosomal RNA", at positions 30 to 507 of the family's 1533-position model. The record is from RNAcentral.
AUUGAACGCUGGCGGCAUGCCUUACACAUGCAAGUCGAACGGCAGCACGGGUGCUUGCACCUGGUGGCGAGUGGCGAACGGGUGAGUAAUACAUCGGAACAUGUCCUGUAGUGGGGGAUAGCCCGGCGAAAGCCGGAUUAAUACCGCAUACGAUCUACGGAUGAAAGCGGGGGACCUUCGGGCCUCGCGCUAUAGGGUUGGCCGAUGGCUGAUUAGCUAGUUGGUGGGGUAAAGGCCUACCAAGGCGACGAUCAGUAGCUGGUCUGAUAGGACGACCAGCAACACUGGGACUGGGACACGGCCCAACAUCCUAGGGGAGGCAGCAGAGGGAAAUUUUGACAAAUGGGCGAAAGCAUAAACCAGCAAUGCCGCGUGUGUGAAGAAGGCUUUCGGGUUGUAAGCACUUUUGUCCGGAAAGAAAUCCUUGGCCCUAAUACGGUUGGGGGAUGACGGUACCGGAAGAAUAAGCACCGGCUAACUACGUG